AAACUUCACAUGACGCGAGGUGCCCCAGAACCUGGGGAGAAUCGGGAAGCCGGUGCAAGUCCGGCACAGGGUCCGCUGCGGUGACCACCUGAGGGUGGAAGUCCGAAGACCGGCCUCGCGCUCAACCAGCCA
RNAcentral lists this non-coding RNA (132 nucleotides) under Aeromicrobium sp. RNAcentral also lists the same sequence under 1 other name. Lineage: Bacteria; Bacillati; Actinomycetota; Actinomycetes; Propionibacteriales; Nocardioidaceae. The record is from RNAcentral.